This 342-nucleotide ribosomal RNA is filed under the name Triticum aestivum (bread wheat). Its description in RNAcentral is "partial small subunit ribosomal RNA". The record is from RNAcentral. Lineage: Eukaryota; Viridiplantae; Streptophyta; Magnoliopsida; Poales; Poaceae.
AUGAACAGCUCCGGAUCUGUGGGGAAACUCGAUUUUGAGGUCAAAUUCGAAGGGUGGAAGGUAGGGGAGGUGGUAGAGGGGUGGAUCUACUUGCUAAACACCAAAUUCAUGGAUCAAAUCCAACAAAAUCUCAUCAAACCAACAAAUCAAAAAAAAAAUUGGGGCUAUUUUUGGUGGGGAUUUUCGGAUUUAGGACGAAAACAACAAAAUCAAGCUAGAAAACAAAGAGGGGGGCUCCAAUUUCGUGAGAAACCAAGGCUCAUGAUACCAUAUGAUGUAGGGUGGAACCCUAUAGAGAAGAUCUUUCACGAAUUGAAGGUGGAAUCCUCAAGAACAAUAUGA